Long non-coding RNA from Astatotilapia calliptera (eastern happy), 2917 nucleotides. The record is from Ensembl. Lineage: Eukaryota; Metazoa; Chordata; Actinopteri; Cichliformes; Cichlidae.
GGACAACAUAAACAGACUCCAAUCUGACGUGGAAGGAAAAGACUCUGAGGUGUUUGCCCUCAGUAAGAGCUCAAGGCAUCAGAACAGAAAUUGAGCAUGGCUCCGGAGGAGCUGGCUGCUAAUUGAACUCAUCAGUCAGACUUGGAGUUUCACGUACAGGACUUGUAAUCAGGCGGAAGCUUGCUGGAGCAGGAGGUCGUCAGACUUGACGCAAAGCUCCAACAGCAGGAGUAAACCCUGAAAGACCAUACAGAAGCAAAAGGGUCAAGUUACAAGGAGAAGCUGCAGGCAGCUGCAACAACGGAUGAAAACAGACCCAAAGAGGAGGGGAGGACCCUAGGCCAUGCGUCAGGCCGCUGGUUUACCUAAACUACAGAACAGGAAGGUGAUGAACACAAACAUACACCAACACACGAAUACACACUUCUGCAUGUGCCUACUUAGAAUGAAGGGAAACACACACAUGAACACUUAUGCACUUGUUGAGGGAGUAAAAACUGAUACAUACCCAUGCACUAAAAUCAAAAUGUUGAUUUAAUUUACUAAGAAGUGACACACAAUGCUCCAGCUGCUGCAAUGAAGAAUGCUUUACUGACAAAGGCUCAAUGCUGCACACGACAACGUCAAAUACAGAAUUUGCUAUAAUAAUAAGUCCAGAGGGUAUUUGUGUGGUCUGGGGAGCAGAGUCCGGAGCGGUUUGGUUAUGAAAACGAUGCCCGUGCGAGAUAUCCGGGGCUUAAGGCCUCGACUUAAUUGUUUACUGUACACUAAAAAGAAAAGAAAACACUCUGAGCAGUGGUGCAGAGUGAAAACGAGGAAUUAACAGUGUGAGUUUUAUUUCAGAGCGCCAUGUCAUUGUGAUGGAGAUUUAAUAAAGGAGGAACACACGGACAAAGAAGAAGAGAAGGGGGGACAGCCCUUGAGCACGAUUGCCUGAGGCAUUAAAGUUCUGUACUAAAUUCUGGUUUCCAGUGUGAGAAAAAGUCACGCAGUGCCAGUAGUAGAGCUAGGUUGAGUGAUGAUUCUAAAUUACUGUAAGGAAAUCAUCGUACACCGUUCAAGUUUCAUGAUAACGGGGAUCUAGACUUUGUUGAACCCUAGGCAAUUUGAACAGGUAAAAUUCGAGUGACCAAGUAGCAGUUGAAUAAAAGUCAUUGAAUAAGUGUUGAAAUAAACUGGCAGAAUUAAGAGAAUUAAAACAUUUCAAGAGCUCAAAUUACUUAAUGGUUCAAUUUUGUUUCACGAACGCAAAACAUAUAGGUUUAUGAAUAUGAAAAGGUUGAGGUGGUGUUGAUUUGACUCUGUGUAGGUUUAGGUUUGGUAUUUUUAUUGAUGGGAGGGAUAUUCAGUGACAAGUCCUAAGACCCGGGCGUCUGCAUUUUGUUUUUGUUAUUUUUCAUUUUAUUUUGUUUUAUAUUUUGAACAGUGCACUGAUUUUUGUUUGUGAAUCUUUUCUUUAAGCAGAUCUGCACAACGGAAAUUACAAGCAUUACACGUCGGCGAGAAAAUUGUUGUAAGUGAGUUUCUCCGCAUUGAAAUGGGUUCUGGAGGAAACACUUGUGGGGACAAUUAGAAACAAGAGUCCCUGUUUAAAAAAGGAUUCAGCGAGGUAAUCCAAAUUCAAGUUCUUGUUUUCUUUUUGAGAUGACGUCAUUUUGCUGAGUGUGGAAACUAAAUGCGACGACAGGUUUCACUAUCAGCAAAGAAAGAAAGAAUGGAUGAAUGGAUGAAAGACUGGAAAUAAAAACAAACGGACUGACUGGUAAAAGAUGACCAGACUUGACCAUGACUCAAGGUUAACCACCUCCACCUAGAUAGGAUAAAAGGGUGGAUGAAUUUAUGUGUGUUUCUUUUUACAGGAGUAGAAGGAUGACAAAAUAUUCGAGGAUGAGUGAACCUUUAAAUGCCAUUUUUGUGUCUUGUGUUGCUUACAGAGGUAACUGCGCAGCGUUACCAUUUACAUUUUCUUCCCUACAGGGUUACAGUUUUAAUGUUUUUCUAUUACAGGAUUUCUGGGCGGAUCUGCGAAGAGACGGUGUUUAUGGGUUAGGAGUGGGGGAUGCUAUUACACUGUAUUCUGGUGAGAGUGUUGGGGGAGACACACCCUGUCUUGAAAACUGUGAUUCUUUUACAGGAAAUGUUUUAUAGCACCUAUGGAAUGAGGAUGGCUGACUACGGUCAAUGUGCUGCUGAUGUUUGCUUUGCUUUGGUGAGAAGGGUGCAGUAGAAAACAGACAAGUGACAUGAAAACAAGUAAUAAUAACAAAUAACAAAUUUGGGGACAGGUUAACCUAGAGCCCACUAACUGGCCAUUAGGGGCUCUCUCUCUCUUGGAAUAACAUUGCCCAAAGGGUGAAUAAAGCAAAUUCUGGCAAUAAUAGGGGUUUAAUGAUUGGGGAAACCUGAACAUGAUACUUGUCUGUUGUGCUGAACCGUUUAUUACUCUUAUGAUUUGCAGGUGGUUGUAAAUAAGCUGUUUACUUUAACCGGUUUGCUUUUUAGCUGAAUUGCAAAAUACAACUAGAACGAUUGAUUGAGACUAAUCGCUACUAACCUGAAACUGAGGAGGUUCUAUAUAAGGAGGAAGUACAACAGGUAUAAAAUGCAUCUGAUCUUUAAUUGCAGGUGGGACCAUGAAGAUUUUUUGGUACAGAUUGCAAGUUGUUGCUCAUUAUUUGAAGUGUGCUCAUAAAGGCCAAAAGCUAUAUAGGGGGUAUAUCAUUUGGUCUGUGUUUUAAUAAUUUAGGUAUGGCAAAAUUAAAGGUUUCUAGACAAUUUAGGGAACGAGUGAGAAGCAUAAUUAGAUGAUCAGAAUCUGAGUAUUACACUCAAGUUAGAAAGAAUGCCCAAUUUGUUUGAGGUCUGUGGUUCAUUUUUAUACACACCUUGCAAAUGUGCUUAUAAGGAGCUGGCACUG